AAUUGACGGGGACCCGCACAAGCAGUGGAUGAUGUGGUUUUAAUUCGAUGCGACGCGAAAAACCUUACCCACCUUUGACAUGUACGGAAUCCUUUAGAGAUAGAGGGGUGCUCGAAAGAGAGCCGUAACACAGGUGCUGCAUGGCUGUCGUCAGCUCGUGUCGUGAGAUGUUGGGUUAAGUCCCGCAACGAGCGCAACCCUUGCCAUUAGUUGCUACGAAAGGGCACUCUAAGUGGGACUGCCGGUGACAAACCGGAGGAAGGUGGGGAUGACGUCAAGUCCUCAUGGCCCUUAUAGGUGGGGCUACACACGUCAUACAAUGGCCGGUACAGAGGGUAGCCAACCCGCGAGGGGGAGCCAAUCCCACAAAGCCGGUCGUAGUCCGGAUCGCAGUCUGCAACUCGACUGCGUGAAGUCGGAAUCGCUAGUAAUCGUGGAUCAGCAUGUCACGGUGAAUACGUUCCCGGGUCUU
This 472-nucleotide ribosomal RNA is filed under the name uncultured Comamonas sp. Its description in RNAcentral is "bacterial SSU rRNA". It matches the Rfam family "Bacterial small subunit ribosomal RNA", at positions 908 to 1382 of the family's 1533-position model. Lineage: Bacteria; Pseudomonadati; Pseudomonadota; Betaproteobacteria; Burkholderiales; Comamonadaceae. The record is from RNAcentral.